ACGAGACAUUUUUUCGAGAUGGAAUUCGAAAAUUGCCUGAAAGGUACAAUCGUUGAAGGAAGCCAGAGUCAAACUCGUUAGACAGAUGCGCAACAAUGCGAACAAUUUUACAAAGUGGAAACAGCCCCGGGAAAAAGAAAUCAACAAAUUAAAGAUUCAAGAUCGCAAGCGUGCUUUCGAAAUGGUACGCUUGAAAAUGCAGCACAAUAAACAGGAGAUCGUCUUCAAGAGGAAAAUGGCGGCAGCGUUCGCCGUUAACAUAAGGGGCUAAAGAUGAAAUGUCGUUUGAUAUAUGACCUUGGCGUCCGCAACGUUGUGAAUUCUGUUCCAUCUUGUACUUGCUCUGGUUUCUGAAAAAGCAAUCUGAUAUAAAAUGUUACAAUAUUGGGCUUAAUGGUCAAGACCGGUAGUGAUAAGACCCCAUUCAAUGGGUACCAAUUAGGAGGAGACUCCGAAAGUCUCAACCCCGAGAGAAUAGAUAUUGGAGAUCCCGGAGUACCCCCGUGCCCUAGAGACGAGUUGCCAAACUUCGUGCUAGCACGGAGUCGUAGCGACCGGACGGCAGUUACCGUGGAAAGGGGUUUACUCAAGGAACAGAAAGACACACAAUUUGGAAAAAUCGCAGCCCGUACACGCUCACUGUUCUGCCGAACAGAGUGCUAUCAGAGACGAGAACAGUCUU
Molecule: long non-coding RNA, 682 nt
Organism: Dinoponera quadriceps
Lineage: Eukaryota; Metazoa; Arthropoda; Insecta; Hymenoptera; Formicidae
Exons: 4
Source: RefSeq, a predicted model, not a curated record